This 88-nucleotide transfer RNA is filed under the name Verrucomicrobiota bacterium. RNAcentral describes it as "Verrucomicrobia bacterium tRNA-Ser". It matches the Rfam family "tRNA". Rfam says of the family: Transfer RNA (tRNA) molecules are approximately 80 nucleotides in length. Their secondary structure includes four short double-helical elements and three loops (D, anti-codon, and T loops). RNAcentral also lists the same sequence under 2 other names. Lineage: Bacteria; Pseudomonadati; Verrucomicrobiota. The record is from RNAcentral.
GGAUGGGUGACAGAGUGGCCGAAUGUGCACGCCUGGAAAGCGUGUGUGCCCCAAAAGGGCACCGAGGGUUCGAAUCCCUCCCCAUCCG